GCAGACGACCGCGACGUCGUGCAGGGGCGCCCGAGCUCGGGUGUGCGGGCGAGAAAGGGCACCAGGACGGGGACGGGGCGGGAGGGGUCCAGGUUCAGCGGGUGAGGAGGACACGGGUUACGAUUCGCAUUGGCAACGCCACGCUGGACCGACCUCCUCCUAGGGUGGGCUCGGGAAGAUGGGGCCCGUGCGCGCAGGCAGACCCGCCCACCUCGCGCGGGUCCCGUCCCUGGUUGAGGUGGGCCCCUCUGCCGUGCCCACGCGGCAGCCGAAGAGUCGGUGCGCAGUGCUGGCACCCGAUAAGUCGCACCAUAUUCCCAGGAAUCGCGGCUUCCGUCCGUCGGAUUCGCAUCGCACGGCUGCGCCUGCCGAAGUGUGCCUCUGUAGUGGAUAGGAUAAGUGUGCCAUCCUGGCGAGUGAGAUAAGAUUUCCACCCCCCUCUUUCCCUUCCCUUUGUUGUUGUUAUUGUUGUUGCUUCUUUCUACUGCUGCUGUUCACUCUUCUCGUUUUCUCCCACUCCCUCGCUCUGUGUUGCUUUUACCACCCAACCCUCGCUUGGCUUCUUCUUCCCACCCCCUCUUGUCACCCUGCCUGGAUGGAUUCGAUGACUUUCGGCCACAGCGCGACCGCAAUUUGAGAGAUUGGGUGAUCACUCAGCGGUGGGCUGCGGCCAGCUUGGUGCUCGCUAUUCUUAGACGCGCCUCAUCCACGUCGGAUUGACCCAAGGGUCGUGGAUCCGCCGUCCAAUGACACGACGCGGGAAAAAAAAAAAAAUGGUGAGUUUCGGUGGUGGUCAACCACACUGAUAGCAGUGAUGUUGAUAUCAAGGAACAAAUGAAGUCAUUAUCAGUUUGUGUGUAUUGGCUUCUUCAUUCAAAACUACAAGUUUUUUUUGUUAACGUUUCUAGGUGGUGUAUUUGGGUAUGAUGUUACAAAUUGAUAAAGUUGUGAUAAAGAUCAUCAUCAUUGUUAUUAUCAUUAUUUAAUUAUUUUUGUAAUUUUUAUUUGUUUACUGGGAAUAAUAGAAGUGGCAUUAAACAUGAGUUUUGAUUCAACAAGUAAUCCAUUUUUUAUUUUAUUUUAUUUAUUUUUUGCUAACACUGCUCUACCACAUGCUUGAAAAGACAGAAGAAGAAAAAGUAAGAUUAAAUAGUAUUAAAACAAAUAAUGAGAAGGAGAGAAGAAGAUUGUCCUCACUUGUAUGAAUCAUGAGGCGAAUCAGUAUACACCCAACUAAAUCAAUUUAUUAUUAUUAUUAUUAUUUUCA
Physcomitrium patens is the source of this 1267-nucleotide non-coding RNA. NCBI's taxonomy places the organism in Eukaryota, Viridiplantae, Streptophyta, Bryopsida, Funariales, Funariaceae. The record is from RefSeq and is a predicted model, not a curated record.